RNAcentral lists this ribosomal RNA (511 nucleotides) under bacterium enrichment culture clone ALO1_GLFRUDD03GK58E. Its description in RNAcentral is "bacterial SSU rRNA". It matches the Rfam family "Bacterial small subunit ribosomal RNA", at positions 9 to 514 of the family's 1533-position model. The record is from RNAcentral.
GAGUUUGACCUGGCUCAGAUUGAACGCUGGCGGCAUGCCUUACACAUGCAAGUCGAACGGCAGCACGGGAGCUUGCUCCUGGUGGCGAGUGGCGAACGGGUGAGUAAUGCAUCGGAACGUAUCCUGGAGUGGGGGAUAACGUAGCGAAAGUUACGCUAAUACCGCAUAUUCUGUGAGCAGGAAAGCGGGGGACCUUCGGGCCUCGCGCUCUUGGAGCGGCCGAUGUCGGAUUAGCUAGUUGGUGAGGUAAAGGCUCACCAAGGCGACGAUCCGUAGCAGGUCUGAGAGGAUGAUCUGCCACACUGGAACUGAGACACGGUCCAGACUCCUACGGGAGGCAGCAGUGGGGAAUUUUGGACAAUGGGCGAAAGCCUGAUCCAGCCAUGCCGCGUGUGUGAAGAAGGUCUUCGGAUUGUAAAGCACUUUAAGUUGGGAGGAAGGGCAGUAAGUUAAUACCUUGCUGUUUUGACGUUACCGACAGAAUAAGCACCGGCUAACUCUGUGCCAGCCG